This 74-nucleotide transfer RNA is filed under the name Candidatus Roizmanbacteria bacterium RIFCSPLOWO2_01_FULL_41_22. RNAcentral describes it as "tRNA-Arg". It matches the Rfam family "tRNA". From Rfam's summary of the family: Transfer RNA (tRNA) molecules are approximately 80 nucleotides in length. Their secondary structure includes four short double-helical elements and three loops (D, anti-codon, and T loops). Further hydrogen bonds mediate the characteristic L-shaped molecular structure. tRNAs have two regions of fundamental functional importance: the anti-codon, which is responsible for specific mRNA codon recognition, and the 3' end, to which the tRNAs corresponding amino acid is attached (by aminoacyl-tRNA synthetases). tRNAs cope with the degeneracy of the genetic code in two manners: having more than one tRNA (with a specific anti-codon) for a particular amino acid; and 'wobble' base-pairing, i.e. permitting non-standard base-pairing at the 3rd anti-codon position. RNAcentral also lists the same sequence under 1 other name. The record is from RNAcentral. Lineage: Bacteria; Candidatus Roizmaniibacteriota.
GCGUCCGUAGCUUAACUGGAUAGAGCAGAUGGCUUCGGACCAUCAGGUUGCGGGUUCGAGUCCUGCCGGACGCA